GACGAACGCUGGCGGCGCGCUUAACACAUGCAAGUCGAGCGAUAAAACAUUAACAGAACGCUUCGGGGCGUAGCUAAAGUGGAUCAGCGGCGGACGGGAGAGUAACAUGUGUGUAACCUGCCUUAAACAUAGGGAUAGCUACGGGAAACCGGGAUUAAUCCCACGUAAAAUAAUAAUGAAACAUGUCAUAACGAUCAAAACUCCGGUGGGCUAGGGUGGAAGCGCGUCCCAUUAGCUAGUUGGUAGAGUAAAAGCCUACCAAGGCGACGAUGGGUAGCCGGGCUGAGAGGGUGAACGGCCACAUUGGAACUGAGAAACGGUCGAGACUACUACGGGAGGCAGCAGUGGGUAAUAUUGCACAAUGGAGUGAGCGCAGAUGCAGCGAGGCCUCGUGAGCCCAUAAGUCGUGCGAGACAUAAAGUUCGUUUAUAUGGGAAUAUUAUGACGGUACCAAAAGAAAAAGCACCGGCUAACUUCGUG
Molecule: ribosomal RNA, 480 nt
Filed under: uncultured bacterium
Lineage: Bacteria
Description: partial 16S ribosomal RNA
Rfam family: Bacterial small subunit ribosomal RNA
Source: RNAcentral